AACGCCUGCCCAGUGAACAAUUAAACGGCCGCGGUACCCUAACCGUGCAAAGGUAGCAUAAUCAUUUGUCUACUAAUUAUAGACCUGUAUGAAAGGCAAAAUGAGGGCCUAGCUGUCUCUUAUAAUAAAUCAAUUAAACUGAUCUCCUAGUAAAAAAGCUAAGAUUCCCACAUAAGACCAGAAGACCCUGUGAAGCUUAAACUAACCAUUAAACCCAAUAAUGUCUACUUUAGGUUGGGGCGACCUUGGAAAAAACAAGAACUUCCAAAAUAUUACGGCUAUAAACCAUACCCAAACUAGGCCGACAAGCCAAUAAAUGACCCAGCAAAGCUGAUAACUGAACCAAGUUACUCCAGGGAUAACAGCGCAAUCUUCUUCAAGAGCCCAUAUCAAAAAGAAGGUUUACGACCUCGAUGUUGGAUCAGGACAUCCUAAUGGUGCAGCCGCUAUUAAGGGUUCGUUUGUUCAACGAUUAACAGUCCUACGUGAUCUGA
RNAcentral lists this ribosomal RNA (494 nucleotides) under Ptyas fusca. RNAcentral describes it as "partial 16S ribosomal RNA". It matches the Rfam family "Bacterial large subunit ribosomal RNA", at positions 1854 to 2608 of the family's 2925-position model. The record is from RNAcentral. Lineage: Eukaryota; Metazoa; Chordata; Lepidosauria; Squamata; Colubridae.